RNAcentral lists this ribosomal RNA (468 nucleotides) under uncultured bacterium. RNAcentral's name for it is "partial 16S ribosomal RNA". It matches the Rfam family "Bacterial small subunit ribosomal RNA", at positions 28 to 507 of the family's 1533-position model. The record is from RNAcentral.
GACGAACGCUGGCGGCGUGCUUAACACAUGCAAGUCGAACGGAAAGGCCCUGCUUUUGUGGGGUGCUCGAGUGGCGAACGGGUGAGUAACACGUGAGUAACCUGCCCUUGACUUUGGGAUAACUUCAGGAAACUGGGGCUAAUACCGGAUAGGAGCUCCUGCUGCAUGGUGGGGGUUGUAAAGUUUCGGCGGUUGGGGAUGGACUCGCGGCUUAUCAGCUUGUUGGUGGGGUAGUGGCUUACCAAGGCUUUGACGGGUAGCCGGCCUGAGAGGGUGACCGGCCACAUUGGGACUGAGAUACGGCCCAGACUCCUACGGGAGGCAGCAGUGGGGAAUAUUGCACAAUGGGCGGAAGCCUGAUGCAGCAACGCCGCGUGCGGGAUGACGGCCUUCGGGUUGUAAACCGCUUUCGCGUGUGACGAAGCGUGAGUGACGGUAAUGGGUAAAGAAGCACCGGCUAACUACGUG